CAGUCGCCGCGGUAAAACAGAGGGUGCAAGCGUUAAUUGGAAUUACUGGGCGUAAAGCGCGCGUAGGUGGUUUGUUAAGUUGGAUGUGAAAGCCCCGGGCUCAACCUGGGAACUGCAUCCAAAACUGGCAAGCUAGAGUACGGUAGAGGGUGGUGGAAUUUCCUGUGUAGCGGUGAAAUGCGUAGAUAUAGGAAGGAACACCAGUGGCGAAGGCGACCACCUGGACUGAUACUGACACUGAGGUGCGAAAGCGUGGGGAGCAAACAGGAUUAGAUACCCCUAGUCCCUGUCUCUUAUACAC
RNAcentral lists this ribosomal RNA (301 nucleotides) under uncultured bacterium. RNAcentral describes it as "partial 16S ribosomal RNA". It matches the Rfam family "Bacterial small subunit ribosomal RNA", at positions 509 to 809 of the family's 1533-position model. The record is from RNAcentral.